UUGACGGUACCCAUAAAGUAAGGGUCGGCUAACUACGUGCCAGCAGCCGCGGUAAUACGUAGGACCCAAGCGUUGUCCGGAAUCACUGGGUGUAAAGGGAGCGCAGGCGGACUUUCAAGUCGAUGGUGAAAUCUUACGGCUCAACCGUAAAACUGCCGUCGAUACUGCUUGUCUUGAGUGUGGAAGAGGGUGGCAGAAUUCAUGGUGUAGCGGUGAAAUGCGUAGAUAUCAUGAAGAAUACCGGUAGCGAAGGCGGCCACCUGGUCCAUUACUGACGCUCAUGCUCGAAAGCGUGGGGAUCAAACAGGAUUAGAUACCCUGGUAGUCCACGCCCUAAACGAUGAAUACUCGGUGUUGGGUCUUUAGACUCAGCGCCUAAGCCAACGCAUUAAGUAUUCCACCUGGGAAGUACGAUCGCAAGGUUGAAACUCAAAGGAAUUGACGGGGGCCCGCACAAGCAGUGGAGCAUGUGGUUUAAUUCGAUGCAACGCGAAGAACCUUACCUGGGCUUGAAAGGCUAGAUUUUAGUCUCUGAAAGGGGAUUACCCGCAAGGGGUCUAGUACAGGUGCUGCAUGGCUGUCGUCAGCUCGUGCCGUGAGGUGUUAGGUUAAGUCCUGCAACGAGCGCAACCCCUACACUUAGUUGCCAUCAGGUAAUGCUGGGCACUCUAAGUGGACUGCCUACGCAAGUAGCGAGGAAGGUGGGGAUGACGUCAAGUCCUCAUGGCCCUUACGCCCAGGGCCACACACGUGCUACAAUGGCCACUACAAAGGGUUGCUAAGCCGCAAGGUGGAGCCAAUCCCAAAAAAGUGGUCUCAGUUCAGAUUGUGGGCUGCAACUCGCCCACAUGAAGCUGGAAUUGCUAGUAAUCGCAGAUCAGCACGCUGCGGUGAAUACGUUCCCGGGCCUUGUACACACCGCCCGUCAAGCCAUGGAAGCUGAGGGUACCCGAAGCCGCUGUGCUAACCGCAAGGAGGCAGGC
RNAcentral lists this ribosomal RNA (983 nucleotides) under bacterium enrichment culture clone B-MY14. Its description in RNAcentral is "bacterial SSU rRNA". It matches the Rfam family "Bacterial small subunit ribosomal RNA", at positions 469 to 1454 of the family's 1533-position model. The record is from RNAcentral.